Molecule: long non-coding RNA, 1392 nt
Filed under: Apteryx haastii (Great spotted kiwi)
Lineage: Eukaryota; Metazoa; Chordata; Aves; Apterygiformes; Apterygidae
Description: lncRNA (ENSAHAG00000006446.1)
Source: RNAcentral
GGGAGAUCACGUCACGCAGAGGAGUGCCACUUUGUACUCUCCGGUUUUAUUUUGGGGAGAAAUAAGAGAAUCCGCAACGAAGCUAAAGCAAAGGGUGCCGGCACUGCCGCACGGCAAUUUGCAUUCGGGAACUGGAGCGGGAGGGAAAGGAAAGUUAACCGAGCGCCUCCCGCUGCUUUCUGGCUUGCUCCGGCGGCUGCCGCUCCCUCCUUCCUCUCCGCGGAAGCGCUGCAGCUGCGUCGCUCUCCCCCUCCGAACGGGCCCUCUUCGGAUGCAGUGCGCGAUGCCGCAGCUUCGAAAAAGGCUUGUCGUCCUUGCACGGAAGCGAAAAACCCCGGAGUGCCGAGGCCGGGAACCGCUCCGGAGGCUGGGCAGCCGAGGCGGGAGGACGCCCCGGCUCGGCUCCAAGGCGCUUUCCCUCAGCGGCGCCCGACUCUCGUCUGGCACUUGCCGCGGCGGAAGGCGCGGGGCCGCACCAGCGCCCGCCUGCGUGCCCGGCACAGCCCGGCCACCCUCUCGCACCUGCAGGCUCCUCUCUCGCACCAGCUCCGGGAGCCUGCGGGGAGCAGAGGGGAAAAGCGCCGCGAUGCCGCUGCGGAGGGCAGGGGGCCGCGAAACGCAGCCCUCCGCUCGCCUUCGGUAUUUUGCACCCCGCAUCCCCCGCCGCCACCGCGGGAACUUACGGCAAGCCGCAAUCCCGGCCCGGGCGACGGCGAGCUGGGCCCGGGCGACGUCGCACCGGCGCGCGGCCAGCUUGGUGUAGCAGCAGGUGCGAAGCAGGCUGCACCUGCAGCGACAAGGGGGGAGGAAAAAACCGUUUUCCGCCCGCCGGUGGGCUGGGAAGCGCAGGCAGCACCUCCCUGCCCGUCCCUCCUGCUCUCAGUCGCCCACGAGCAGCUCCAGCCCCUUCCCUCUUUCGCUUCACCCCCAGCCCAGCCGGUUUUCCCACUUUUUGGCUUUUCCCCGGGGUCCCACAGGGCCGCCCCCGGCUGUACCGGUCCAUUGCAGCCUUCGAGGCGCCCCAUCCCGCCGAGCAGCCGGCGGCGGACAGGUUGGCCACGGUGCUUCCCUCGAGCGCCGGCGCGAAGGUGUGCGGGAACGGCUGCAGCUUCCCACCGGCCGGCAGCGCGCCUGCAGCGUCGGGGGGGGGGAAAAAGGCAGGUUUGUAGGAAGGAGCCCGGGGGGGGAGGCAGGUCUCAGCGGCUGUUUUUGGCAGGGCGCCGAGCGGGCGAGGGGCUCCCCCCCCACCCCGGGGUCGCCCUGCGGCUCGACGGUCGCGCUUACCGCAGGCGAGCAGCGCCGCCAGCAUCAGCAGGACCCUCAUCUUCCUCGGGGCGGGCGGACCGAGCGAGCGGCGCCGCUGGCUGCUCGGCACGGCGGCCGGGCUCUUAA